RNAcentral lists this long non-coding RNA (7015 nucleotides) under Mytilus galloprovincialis (Mediterranean mussel). The record is from RNAcentral. Lineage: Eukaryota; Metazoa; Mollusca; Bivalvia; Mytilida; Mytilidae.
AUUAUUUCUAAAAUCUGCAGGUAGGUAAUUCCAUAAAAUCUCUGCUGAAUAUUUAAAAGAGUUCUUAUAAUAAGUUGAUGUUCAAGAUCUAGUCAUAUCUGCAGUGUCAAUAUAUAUUUACAAUCUUUGUAUACAACUAAAUGGUAACACGCUAAAAGAAAUUUGAAACCAUUCAACAGGCAUGCUACCCAUAGGUCUAACAUUCAUUGAUGGAACUGUAUCUCUUUCAUGUAGUUAAUCAUACGUAACGAAUCUUCGUUUAUAAAUUGUUAAGCCCUUUUCGCAUUAUUACAAAUUAGAAGCGCUAUUGUUGCAAAAUAAUUCUGCGCAAAAAGCCAAAAAUUUAGAUUGAGAUGAAAUAAAUUUAUUUAAUUUCGUAAUAUAUCAACCAAUACACUUUCGAACAUUCAGAUCAGUACAGUUGCAGAAAAUCUUUACAAUAAACUUUUUUUUAUUAUGGUGACUAUAAUUAAGUUGAUAAUCAAUAUCAAUACUCCAAAAUUUGGUAAUCUCAUCACAUGAUCUGUCAGCUGACUGUAUAUUACAAACAGGCUUCGUCUCAAACCUUUUAAGUAUACAUAAACUGAUUGCUCCAAUGAAUAAGCUUUUUCCUAAGGCUUAUCAAUAUAACGCAUUGCUUUUUUACCCUACAUUAUAUCCUAUAUACUAGUCUACUGUCUACUUAAAUAUAGUGUGACAUUACACACGCUCAUGCCUUUCUCAGACAGUUUUUGAUAGCUUUGCACUUAAUCUGUAAGAUGUGUACUGGUUGAUACUUUAGAUUGAAACUUACAUGAUUUAUUUAUAAGCUGUAAUUUACUUUGAACUAGCUUUUAGUAAUUGCUAGUAAAAUAAUAUUUCAGUGGUUGUAUCUUUUGUCUUUUUCUGCGUGCUAAAUACCGAUCUUGUGAGUUAAUUCUUUAGUAACUGAUUGUAUAAUUUUGUUCUUAUUUUGUGUUGUAAAACCAAUGGCCGAGGUUAGGGGAGAGUUGAACACUCAAAAACAUGUUUCUGUAGGUGUCUGUGCUAAGUAAUGAGCCUGUAAUUUAGUGUUUAUCGUUGGUUCAUGUCUGUAAUAUUUAUCAUCGCAAAUGGUACAGCAACCAUUACCAGUUGGUUGACCGUUAUAUAAUAUCCGUUUCACAGAUGGUAGCGAAUAUAUUCCACAUGUUGUAACUACAAUCCUGUUCCAUUAUCCCAGAAUGUGAUUUGCCGAUAUAGACUUAUUACCGGGUUUGUACUAACAUGAGCAACACGACGGGUGCCACAUGGUGAACAGGAUCUGUUUGUCCUGCAUGAGCACCUGAGAUCAACUCCAGUGAUAAGUGGGGUUAAAUUCGUGUUAUUUAGUCUUAGUUUCCUAUGUUGAGUUUUGUGUUUUGUGUACUGUUGUUUUUCUGUUUUUCUAUUUUUGAAAUGGCGUUGUCAGUUUAUUUCUAACUAAGCGUUUCAAUGUUCCUUUGGUAUCGUUCGCCUCUCUUUCAUAUUUGUUUUUCAUAAAUUGAAAUGUUUCACAUUUGAAGCUGACUAAACAGUAGUUUUUUUUCAUAUUGUUGAAGGUUGUAUACAGACUUGUUUGUAUCAUUUAUUUUUUAAAUUCAAUCUGUUAUGUAUACUCUCAAAGUUUUGUUUUCUUUUUUUUCGAAUUUUGAUCGUAAUAUUUGUUUAUUAGACGAAACGGACCUGGAGCAAAUUUAUACAGAUAGAACAAAAUUAUUCGCAAAUACCAAAAACACUAGGAUAUUAUAUUAUAUCGCCAUUAUUUCUUUUUUUUUUUUAUUUUUAUUCAACAACAAAUUGCACUUUCUGCUGUUAACAAUAUACCUCACCAGUCCAGCAUACCAGUGAAGAGUCCCUGUUUGUUAAUACCAGAAAUCCAGGGUUGUUUUCUGGUAAGCAUCAAUAUAUUAAAUCAACAUGUGUAUUAUAAUCUAACAGCUAAGUUAUAAAAUAAUCAGCAAUGAAAUAAUAAACAAGUAAAUAUCAGCGAGAUUUAUUUGUUUACCUAUACAUAUAAAUAGGAAAAAAUACUAUUUGGAUAUCAUCUAGCAAUAUAAAUGAUUUUUGAGUAUAGUUUCCGGAAACUUUCCAUAUUUUCUCCGUUAACGUGUGCAUUGUUUUUCUAUCGAAUAACUUCCUGGUUUGAAACAAAAUUGUCACACCGGUUUAAUAGAACAAACAGAUGUGAUAUAGCAUUAUAACAGGUAUGUCUAAAUCAAAAUUUAUCAAUAGUGUAAAGAAGAUCAAGAGUAAGACUGGUUUCUUUUUCAAAUCUUCUUUUUGUAACGGUAAAUUGAUAUAAAUAGCCUCGAUAUUAAUCUUAACAUGUGGCGGUGAACAGUAAAAUUUAUAUUACUUCAUCAGUUCCUGAUGUGUAAUUUUAAAAAAUUUAUAUCUUUAAUUAAGUUCUUUCAUUUAUUUUUGCUAGAUCAUAUAUUUCUCAAACAAACAAAAAAAUUAUUUCAACAAUUUGAAAGCUUUUUCUAGGAAACAAUUACAAUGUGUAGUCUUACAUUUUGCCUGUAAUUUGUAACUAUACAUAAAUUCUGCUUUAAAUACAGCAUAAACAUUUAUAGCUUCUGUUUUCUGUUCAGACAUGUAGUAAGCUUUAUAUAUACAAAACAUUAUUAAUGUAAUCAAAUAAUUUAUUUCAUAAUAUUGUUCAUCAUUAAUUUUAUAACCAAAUACUAGAUUUUUCAAUGUUAGAAUAUUAUUAUCAAUAUUCAGUUUUCCAAAAAGAUUUUUAAUUUUACUAAAGAAGUCAUCAAGAAAAUGACAUUUCAGAAACAUGUGAUCAUAAUCUUCAGUGGUAUUGCAAAAAUUACAAUUUGAAGUAUUGCAGAUAUUCCACUGUUUUAAUAAAGUUUUACAAGGUAGAAUAAAGUGUAACAAUUUCCAACGAAACACUUUAUACUUAUUUUCUUUCAAAAUAAUGUGAACAAAUUUCAAUAUAUUACAGACUGAACUCUUAAUAUACUCAAUAUUUAACACUGUUUUCCAUCGGUUAAAACCAACAGGAAUUUGAAUCUCAUUCUGAAUGAAUGUGUUAUAAAUUUUUUUUGUUUCUAACUUGUCUAAUGUUUCUGUAUAAUUACAAUUUCUCUUAAUAAAUAAAACAUAAUCUGUUUUUACUUGAGUUUUCUUUGAAUUUUCUUGUCUUAAAAUGUUUAUCCAUUCUUUUGGUAAAGCUUUCUUCAAUUGAGAAAAUUCUGACAACCAAUUACAUUUAAUAUUGAGUUUUUGUAAAAUAUAUUUCUCUGAUAUGUUACCAUUUUCAUCUAUAAUGUCAUUUACAUAUAUGAUUUUGCUAUUUAUCCAGUUUUGAAAUAUAAGGCUUUUUUUUUUUAAUCUUGAUAAAUUGAUUUCCCCAGAUUACUUGUUGUCGAAUAGUUCUAAAGUUUUCUGGUUGCUCUAUUUUUUUGUUUUUUACCCAUGCUUUUAAUAUAUUCAAAUAAAAUUCUGGCAGCUUAUUUAAACCAGGAAUUGAGUUAAUACCAUCAAUGUUCAUAUGAAAGAUAAGGAAAUUCUUGCCAAAUUUAUUAAAAUAAAAUAAUGGUAUUACUUUCCAGUUGGCAAAAUCUCCAUAUAUUAAUCUUUUAAUCCACCCAAUUUUUAAAGAUUCUAUGUAUUUAUCUAUGUCAAUCAUUUUUAAACCACCAUCUAGCAAUUCAUAGCUUAAUACAUUACGUUUAACUUUUUCUGUUUUGCUUUUCCAUAAGAAUUGAAAUACAAUUUUUUUAAAUUUAUCAAUAUAUUCUUUUUCUAUGUGAGAAACAGAUGCUAAAAAAGUAAUAUUGGGUAGAAUCAGUGAUUUAAUAACUGUUAUUUUUCCCAAUAAGGUUAGAUUUCUUUUCUCCCAGUUUUUAAUUAUCUUCUCAGAUUUUUCUAAUUGUUUUUCAGCAUUGAGCUUUUGACAAUCAUUUUUAUUACAACCAAAAAAAACUCCUAAACAUUUUACUGGUUUGUUUGUAAAGUUAAUGUUUUCAUAUUUUUCUUUACAAUGUUUGUGUUUUCCUAACCAUAUGCCUUCUGUUUUUGAUCUGUUUAAUUUAAGUCCUGAUAAUGUGCCAAAGAUUUCAAUCAUAUUUAAAACUUUUGAAAUGUCUUUUUGUGAUUUUAGAAAAAGUGUUGUAUCGUCUGCAAGUUGGCUGACUUUUAAUGAAUGUGUUUUCCCAUCUAUCUUAAUUUCAAAGCCUUUAAUGUUAUGGUCUUGCCUUAUGUUACAGGCUAAUAUCUCUACUGCAAUAACAAAAAUUAAUGCACUGCACGGACACCCUUGUCGUAUUACCGCGUUGAAUGUUUAUGGGUUCAGAUAUCCAUCCAUUAUUUAUUACUGAGCUUUUUAUAUCUGUAUAUAAAGUUUUAAUCCAUUUAAGCAUAGAGUUUUGGAAUCCAAAUUUUUUUAAAGCUGAAAACAUAAAAUCCCAUUCUAAAGAGUCAAAUGCUUUAGAGAAAUCUAAAAAAAGUAGUGCCCCCUCUAUGUUAAAUCUUUCUGCAUAAUCAAUUAUAUCUUGGAUUUGUCUAAUAUUAUAACCUAUAUAUCUAUUUUUAACAUACCCAUUUUGAUCCUUAUGUAUAAUAUUUGGAAGUAUAUUUUUAAUGCGUUGAGCCAAUGAAUAUGCAAUUAAUUUUGUAUCAAUAUUUAAUAAAGUUAUGGGUCUAUAAUUAUUUAAGCAAAGUGGAUCAUUCUUUUUAUGUAUUAGAGAAAUAACUCCUAGUUUUUGAGAACUUGUUAACUCCCCUUUUUUAUAUGAAUAAUUAAAUGUAGAUACAGCAAAUUCUUUUAAAUCAUUCCAAAAAGUCCUAUAGAACUCAACACUAAGUCCAUCAAUUCCAGGUGAUUUAUUAAGUUUCAUCUUGAAUAACGAACUAGUACAUUCUUCAAUGGUUAACGUACCUUCCAUUAUCUCACUCUCUUGUUUAUUUAAUUUAUGAUCAAUAUUUAUAUCAUUAAUAUAUUUAUCUAUGGAUUUUACAUUUGGACAUGUGCUAUUAUAAAAUAUUUGAUAGAAAUUCUUUUUCUAUUUGUAAAAUUUUAGAAGACUCUGUAUGUAUAUCUCCUUUUUCAUCUUUUAAAGCAGUUAUAGUCUUUCUGGUCUGUCUAGCUUUUUCUAGUCCCAAAAAAAUUUAGUAUUUUUCUCUCCUUCUUCUACCCAUUUAAUCCUUGACCUUAUUUGAGCUCCUUUACUUUUUAUUUCAUAAAUUUUUCUUAGUUUACAUUCAUUAUAAGUUAAUUCUUCUUGAUAAUGUUUAAUAACAUCAUCUUUACAGUUUCUGUUUAUAUUUUCAUUUAAUUUUUUUAUCUUAUUUUCCAAUAUAUGUAUUUCACUUUUAUUUUUAUUUGCAUUUCUUUUACAGUAUGCAACAGUAUGUUCUCGAACUUCAAUUUUGAACAGAUCCCAUUGAUGGCCUAUUUUAUCAGUAAGUUUUGUUUUAUUUUUAUAUUUCAUGAUAAGACCUUUUAUUAUAUUUUUAUACUCUGUAUUAUCUAAGAUACUGUUAUUAAUUUUAAAAUAACCUUUCCCUUUUGAUUGUGAUCUCCCUUUUACCUUUAAAGAUAUAGCUUGGUGAUCUGUAUGUGAAAUAAGUGCAGGUCUUAUAUCUGUUGAAUAAAUAUGUGACCUUAUUUCUGGACAAACAAGAAAGUAGUCUAUGCGUGAAGCUUCGUUUAUCUUAUUUUUCCGUCUCCAUGUAAAUUGUAUAUUAUUUCUAUGUAUGUCUCUCCAAAUAUCUAUCAGUUUGUGUGUUUUGAUUAACCCCUUUAAACUGUUGACUGGUUUUUGUUUUCUUUUAUUAUUUCUGUUGUUUUUUUUGUUGUCAAUAUUAGAUAAUGUAUCAUUCAUAUCUCCCCCUACUAUGACCAUACCUAAACUGUUUUUCUGUAUCAUGUCAUUUACUUUUUUGAAGAAAACAUUCCUAUUUUUAGGUAGAUUUGGUGCAUAAAUAUUAACUAGAGUAUAUAUACUUUCUGAAAUUUCUAUGUUAAUCAAAAUUAUGCGCCCCUCCUCAUCUUGAAAUUUAUCAAUUAAUUGAUAAUCAGUGUGAUCACUUAUAAAAAUAGAUACCCCUCUUGAUUGAGAAUUUCCAUAACUGUGGUAUGUAUCACCUUUGAAUUCAUUUUUAAAUUUUUCCUCUAAAGUAGAAGUAAAAUGACUCUCUUGUACAAAUAAAAUAUUACAAUUCUGAUACUUCAUCCACAUAUGAAGCCUUUGUCUUUUAUCUUUUGAACCAAGACCUUGGCAGUUUAAUGAACAUAUAUGUAUUGUUUCACUCAUUGUUUACCAUAGAUUUCUAGUUAAAAAAAGUAAAGUUUCUUAUAUAUAAUAUAACCAUAAUUUGUUUACAACAUGGUAUAUACAGCUAGUAUUAAUAUUAAUAUACACAUUGUACAUAACAUUGCCAAUAGUGCUUACAAUAAUAUUGCAAAUAAUCAUUUUAACAUUUAUAGUAUGAUAACUACAUUGUUUACUUUUUAUUUCAUUGUCUAUUUUCAGACCGCAUAUGGCCUUGACAUUACUCAGACACUGACCCAGAUUCUGAUUAGCAAAUUGAAGUGGUAUGUCUGAACACCAGAUGUUAUUAAAAGAAAAGUUAAACAAUUUCAGUGAUGGUUUUGUGAUAUACCAUAUUCCAAAUAUUAGCCAGAAUAGAAAUAUAUCAUUAUUGGAUUUACCUGUGAAUGUUAAAAAAACGUGGAUGGCUAUACAUUUAGUGACAUGUUCUAAAAAUAGAUUUGGAUUUUCCUUUUCUAUACAUUGAAAACAAGUGUGAAGAAUAUUACCACUCUGGAUUAUAAACGUGGCAUAUAAAUGACUGAUGGAUUUUUUUUCACAUGGAGAAAAAAAUGUUGGAUAUAGAUAUGUGUAUUUCUUGCAAUUUCAAUAUCAAUGAUGUGGUUUUUACCAAAGAUACAUUCAAAUUCUAAUGUUCUAUUUAUAGCGUACCAUACUAACAGGUGAUUGUUUGAAACAUAAACAUUUUUUAUGAUAAACAUAUAUUUGACAUUCAAAUAGUC